Molecule: non-coding RNA, 7387 nt
Organism: Callithrix jacchus (white-tufted-ear marmoset)
Lineage: Eukaryota; Metazoa; Chordata; Mammalia; Primates; Cebidae
Source: RefSeq, a predicted model, not a curated record
AAGGAAGGCUGAGUUAAAGAAGACAAAUACCAAAGAGUAUGCUAUGUGAAUCCACUUAACAUGGAAUUCUAGAGCAGGCAUAAUCGUCAUAGUGACAUAAAACAGAUCAGUGGUUGCCUAGCACCAGGAAUAGGUGGUGGGAGGCAGGACUGACAGCAAAGCCACACUGGGGAAUUUUCUGGAUGAUGGAAAUGUUUAUAUGUUAAUUGUGGUCGUGUUUACACUGGUGUGUACCUUUGUCACAACUCGUCUGUACACUUCAAACAUUUGAGAAGACAGAAAUGCCCAGGCUGUUUUUGAAAUUGUAAGCUCAAGAGAUCCUCCUGUCUCAGCUUCUCAAAGUGUUGAGGGUCAGACAACUAAGGGCCUGGCAGAUGAAGAUGCCACAAAACAAGAGGAAUCAACUCAUCAUUAGGACAUCACGAGUCAAAGCUAUCAGCCACAUGCAAGGCCCAGCUCUUAGGAGGGAACAGCCUACACAGUUCAGAAGAAGCGUGCCAGUGUUUCAGGGGAAGUGAAGCUUCUUCCAAAAGAUCUCGCAGGUCUUGUUUACCACUGUGUCUCCAGCAUCAAUGUUAUUGGCAUCUUGGCAGCAGCACUAGGACUUGAAUCUGAGUCUAAUGACUCCCACUAGGAGAGCUGCCUCACAGGAAGUGUGCAGGUGAAGCUGGGGACUUCCUAAAGAAGACUGAGGAGGCUUGCAGACCUGGGAGGAGCAGGAGGGUGUGGCAGCCCCAGAACCCUGGGUGCCACUGACUGGAAGCCAGCUACCAUGUUGUAAGGACACUCAAGCAGCCCUAUGAAGAGGUGUAAAUGUGAAGAAACUGAGGUCCCUUGUUAAUAGCUUUAUGAGUGAGCUACCGUGGAAGCAGAUUCUCUAGUCCCAAUCACAUCUUCAGAUGAUUGCAGCCCCAGUUGACAUCUUGACUGCAACCUCAUGAGAGACCCUGAGCCGUGGCCACUCAGCUGAGCUGCUCCUGGAUUGCUGACUUUUAGAAAUCAAGUGCUGCCGCCCAGACUGAGAGCGAAGCUACUGACCCCUGUAAAGGAGAAUGACCGUCUGGCAGAUGGACAGUGGGGAGCCAGGAAUGGGCUUGUGCCCAGGGACAAAGAGUUAAGCUGCUGACCAUGAAGACCAGGGAGAGCCAGCCAUGCAGGUAUAAAAUAAGGAUGAUGAUGUUAACUCAAAAGGUUAGCAUGAGGAUUAAACCUGUUAACACAUACGAAGACCAUCACGCUGCUGGAGGAUUAAAAAGAGAGAUGCAUCCAGAAUGCUCAGCACCGCGUCUGGCACCUGACUCUCAUACAAUCAUGGCUGGAGUGCAAUGGCACCAUCUCGGCUCACCACAAACUCCGCCUCCCAGAUUCAAGCGAUUCUCCUGCCUCAGCCUCCCAAGUAGCUGGGACUACAGGGAUCCAUCCUAAGGACACUUCUUAAUGACUAUCCUGCAUGCUAAUCUCCAUCUCAGAGUCAACUUCACAGAGGACGAACCUGCAACAGGUUGUGUGUUUAUGCACUAGAAUACUACACAGCAGUAAAAGAACACACGAUGAUACAGGCAACAUGGAUGAAUGUCAAGUGAGAAAAGUCAUACAUGAGAGAAUGUACACUGUAGGAUUCCAUUUAAAUGAAGGUCAAAAACAGACAAAACAAAUCCACAGUGAAAGAGGUCAGAAUAAUGGUGACCCUUCACAUUAGGGAGCCACCUGUGGUACUGGCAGUAGUCUAUAUCUUGAUUCAGAGGGUAGUUACUGCCUCAACGUAUUUUGCAUAUAUGUAUAUAAUAUGUUCAUAUUUAACCUUUAUUGAUCUGCAUACUUACCUGACUGCAUUAAGUUAUGCCUCCAUAAAAAAUAAAAAAGCCAGAUUGUACUGUACUUGCCUAUGACCCUGCUAGUACGUAUUAUAUAGUAUACAGCACAUGUUAUUCUGGAUGUGUCUGUGGGGAAGUUUCUGGAUAAUAUUCGUGUUUGCAUUUGUAGGCAGAGUAAAGCAGACAGCCCUCCCUAAUGCAGAUGGGCCUCAUCCAAUCAGUUGAAGGCCUGAAUAGAAUAAAAAGGCGGCCCCUCCCUCCAGUAAAAGGGAACUCCAUGCCAGCGGGGGACAUAGACAAUUACAUAAUCUGACCUUUUUCAUCUUAUUUUAAAAUCUUAUUAUUUUUGUUGAGGUAUAACUUACUGUUACCAUGCCAGGCUCAUAGUAAGCAUUUGAUAAAGAUUUUUUUUGAAUGAAUAAACAAGUAUCUCCCUGGUCUGGCAUUGAUUCAUUUGGUAGACUUGUCUCUCUACCCUGUGAAUUUCAUUUUACAUAGAAGAAAGCCCUAGCAGAGAGCAAAUCUUAAUCCACAGGCAUGUUGUCAAAAUCAAAUGAGGUAGUUGAUGAAAACACACUUUAUAAACUGUAAACUGAUGUUUACAGAAACAGUGCACAGGUUUUGAGAUUGAACUGCCAGAGGUAAAAACCUAAGUUCUACUAGGCUUCCCCUGUGCUGCCUUGGGUGCUUACACAACACCUCUGUCCCUCAGUUUCUUUAUUACUAAAAUAGAGGUAAAAAGAGGUCCUCCCUUGUUGGUGACUAUGAUAACUGAGAUAAUCUGAGGCAGUAGAGUAGUGGCUGACAGUCAGCACUCAAUGCACACUGGCUGGUGUUAUCACGGAAAGAAUUUUUCUGGGGAAGCCCCUUUCCUCAAAGCAUUUAUCUUCUUCCCCUCCCCGACUCCUUUCUCUCCUCCUCAUCUCUUCUCUGGAGCCCACGAGGAUUUAGGAAUCUAGCCAUUUACAGCCUUAAAUAAAUGAGUUUCUCUAAACUGCGACUGGCCCCCAAGAAAGGAGAUGACCCAUCAGGCAGCCUCACACCCCUGAAUUCAGGAAGUCUGAGCAUCACUUUUUCCAUUAAGGAGGAAAAAAGGUGUUAAUUGGCUGCUUGUGAAAUAUCUGGGCUUCUGCUACCAGGGCAGCCAGGAAGGAGGGGCAGGAAUGGUGAGGGGCAGAAUGGAGGUCACCUGUGGAAACAUUCACUGGUGCUUCGGAGGCCUUGAGGGCAGAACAUAAUCCCUGAGUAGGCUUUUCCCUCUUGCAGGCUAGGCUGGAAGAAAUGGCCAGAGAUGGAAUCAGAUUCCAACCAACAGCCAGGCCCAGCAGGGGCAAUUUGGCAAGGCAGGAGGAGCUCUAGGCAGGGGCUGCAGAUUCAGCUGUCUCAGUCACUUGUGUUACUGGAUCAAGAGGUACAGGGUCCGGAUCAUCUGUAAAGUCUCACUGAGCUCCAAAGUUUUGGAUUCUCAGAAGGGAAGCUUAGUACAGUAGACUCAGAUGAAAUGAGAUUCAAAUCCAACUUUGUCCUUUGGGCAGCUCUGUGUUCUUAGGCAGAUGGCAUCACCUCUUUGUUCCUUUGUAAAAAGAAUAAUAAUGACAAUAGAGGUUUGCUGUAAAUAGGAGUUCAAUAAAUAAUCGUCCCAGUGAUGGUUAAUUUUAUGUGUCAGCUUCAUUGGACUGCAGUGAAGUAUGCAGAUGUUUGUUCAAACAUUAUUCUGGGAGUGUUGGUGAGGGUGUUUUGUAUGAGAUCAACAUUUGAACUGGCAGACUGAGAAAGCAGAUUGCCCUUUUUCAUGUGGGUGGGCCUCAGCCCAUCAGCGGAAGGCCUGAAUAGAAUGAAAAGGCUGAGUAAGGGGAAACCCCUUUGCCUGACUGCCUUAAGCUAGGACAUUGGUUCUUUCCUGCCUUUGGACUCAAACUGAAACAUCUGCUCGUCCUGGGUCUGGAGCCUGCUGGCAUAUAGACCGGAAUCACACCAUAGGCUUUUCUGGGUCUCCAGCUUGUUGACGGCAGAUCUUGGAUCUUGUGAGCCUCCAUAAUGAUGUGAGCCAAUUCUUUACAGUAAUCUCGCUCUCUCCGUAUGUGUAUAUAUGUGUACACACACACCCCUACAUAAAUGUCCUGUUGGUUCUGUUUCUCUGGAGAACUCUGACUAAUAGAGUUCCUUUCCCAUCUGCCAUUCACCUUGUCAUUUUCUCAGGAAAAUGUUCAUAAUUUUCUUUCACACACCUUUCAGCUCUUACUCUCCACUCCCAAAUAAAGCAGUAGCUAUUGAUAAUGAGCAAAAAGUCACCAGCAACAGCAUAUGUUUCAUUUGUCUCAUCUUCAUUAUUUCAAGUGUUUUAAUAAUUAUUUAAUUAUAGGGACACAACCACCUAGGGAGAUAAAGCAGAAAUUGUUCUCUUCCUUUUUCUAAAAGAAGCAUUAAUGAGGUAUAACUGACAUACAAUAACCUGUGUUAUUGAAAGUGUACAGUUUGGUGAAUUUUGAGACAUACACACUGGUGAAACCAUCAACAUGAACAUACCCAUCCCCCUCUCAUUUCCUCAUGCUUCCUCAUCAUCUAUUCAAUGGUUUCAUAACUGCUGAGGACCAGAAAGGAAGUGCUAGUCUCCUGUCACUCAGUCCAGUGUUAAUUCUAAGAGGCUACCUUCAACCAUCCCCAGAAGAGGCGCGGGAACCAGUUAUUAAGCACAUACCAUGUAUGAAGCUCCAGACAAAAAACAAUGUUUGGUCGACAAUGGACUGCAUAUAUGAUGGUGGUCCCCUAAGAUUAUAGUGAAGCUGAAAAAUUCCUAUUGCCUGGUGACAUUGUUGUCAUCAUAAAGUCAUAGCACAACACAUUUCUCACCUGUUUGUGGUAAUGCUGAUGUAAACAAAGCUACUGUGUUGCCAGUUGUAUACACGUGUGCAGUAAUGUCCUAGGUCCUCACAUAUGCUCACCACUCAAUCACUGACUCACCUGGAGCGACUGCCAGUCCACAAGCUCAUUCACAGGAAGUGUCCUGUACAGCCUGCUUAACGUGAAGAUGAUGAGGAUGAAAACCUUUAUGAUGAUCCACUUCCAUUUGAUGAAUGCUACAACAUAGCCAGGAAAAUAUCUUGCUUCAACUGAAAGAAAACAGCCCAUUAGUCUCUGGUGAAAGUCGAUUUAGGGAAAAUGAGUGUCAUAUAGCAGAGUGCUAGGACACUUGAAGCCCUCUUUUUAAAACACUCAUUCAUCUGAAAGGGAAAGGGGUUUUUACUACAAACCUUCCACAUAGCAGGACCUCCCACACAGAGGUAUGAGGAAUAUUAUCAUCUAUGUUACAGAUGAGAAAACUGAGGCUCAGAAAGGUGACAUGGCAUCACCAUGACCAAGACCCUCACAUCUAGUUUGCCUGGCUUUGGAAGCCUAAAGCCUUCUUUAUGCCACAACUGUCUGCUUGGGUCUUCUAUUUUCUUCCAUUAUUUUCCAAUAACUUUAAUUUCAUGAUAAAAGCAAUAAAAUUUUAAAAGAUUGUUCAAAAAAAAAAAAAAAACCCCAGCAAUCUUUCAAAAUGUAGCAUUCUUGCUAUGCUCAGAAUCCAUAGCACCUAGUAUCCCUGAUGCUAGUAGAUGUGUGAUAAAUGAUUGAUGAUUGAAUGUACAAAUGAGUGAAUCCACAGCUUACCUACCAGGGCAUCCCUUUCUUCCUCAACACUCACCUGGGAUUGUGCCCAUUUUUGCUUCAACUUCAGACUUUUUCCCAUUGCACUGGGGCUGUUCUCCUGGGACCUUUUUUGCAUUGUGGGGAAGUCCGCAUUCUGGGGCUUAUUCAUUUUGUGCUUAGCUUGCCUUAGGAAUACACAAACUCCUCAGUUCUCUUUCUGAUACUCACAGAGUGAGUCCUUGUCUUCUCUGGAUUUCUGUUCCAUCAUAAUAAAUCAUUAUCAAAUAUAUGCUCCUGUUUUAUUUUUAAUAUGUCAAGUAAUAAUAAUGGUAAUAAUAGAUAAAAUUUGUAGGGCUUCCUUUGUCCCAGUGCUCUGUUGAGCAUUUCACAUAUUGAAUAGUAUGCCCCAAAAAGUUGAAAUUCAAAAUGCCUGGUAACUAUGAAUAUGACUGUAUUUGGGUCAUAUUCAUAGGGUCUCUGCAGGUAUAAUUAAGUUAAGGACCUUGAGAUGAAAUCAUCCUAGAUUUAGAGUGGAACCUAAAUCCAAUGACUAGUACUCCUAGAAAGACAGAGAGAUUUAAUACAGGGAAGAAGAUACGAAGAUGGAGGCAGAGACUGCAGUGAUGAAUCUACAAACCAGCAAAUGCCAAGGACUGCUGGCAACAUCAGAAGCUGCAAGAGAAACAUGGGAUGCAUUCUCCCCAGACCCUGCAGAAGAAACCAAUCUUGCCAACAACUUGAUCUUGAACCCUUGGCUUCAGAACCGUGAGAGGCUAAAUUUCUGUUGUUUUAACCCAGCUAGUUUUUGGUCAUUUGCUAUGGCACUGUUUAUUUCCCAGGAAAUACACACACCUAUAAUCCAGGAGUUACUUUUUAUUGAGAUAAGAAAACUGAGGCUGGGAAAAGGUUUAUGACUUUGCCUAAGGUCACAAAAUCAGCAAAUGCUUCUAACACAGUUCCAGGCUGGCUUCCUAGACAUGCGACCUGUGCAGCUAUAUGGGGUCCUGAACUCAGCAGAGCCUCUGAUUGGCUUGAGGCUCUGCUGUUGUCUUCUGGAAAUUUUAGUCUUUCCUUUUUUUAACAAGGGGCCUUUAUUAUUAUUUUGCACUGGGCCUCACAAUUAUAUAGCUUGUUCUGACCGGGUGUCUCUGCCAAACCUCUGCUUUUUCAUUCAUCAUUUGCAGUACAAAAAGCCCACACAUAUCCUUGAUCUCCAUUCAUCCCCACAGCCACAGCCUUCUAACCUGUCUCUCCAUGUGACAGACUGAAAAAUGGGCCCCUAAAGGUGAUCAUGUCCUAAUCCCCAGAACUUGUGACCUGACAUGGUAAGGGGGUUUUGCAGCUAUGAUUAAGGGGUCCUAAGAUGGGAAGAUUAUGCUGGAUGACCUGGUGGCCAGAUGGACUCAUAACAGUCCUUAUAAUAGGGAUACAAGAGGAGUUAGAGUCAGAGGAGAUGGUGAUAGAAUGAAAGAAGUAGGGAUAGAAGCCAUAUGCUUUGCAGAUGAAGAAAGGGGUUGCCAACCAAGACAUAUACGUAACUAUGGGAGCUGAGAAAGGUGUAUGGAAGUAGAUUUACCCCUUAGAGCCUUUGGAGGGAACCGGCCCUGCUGACACCUUGACUUUAGCCCAGUGAAACUGAGUUUGGAGUUCUGACCUCCAGAAUUGUAAGAGAACAAAUCUGUGUGUUAAGCCAUUAACUUUGUGAUGAUUUGUUACAGCAGCCACAGGAGACUAAUACACUACUUCCCUCUUACUCUUACCUUACUCAUAAAAAGACUCCCUCAUACUGUUACUUUUCAAUCUGUGGAAGUACUGGAGGAGAUAAAUAGAACUUUAGUUUAACAGAAAAACAUUUACGUAACAUUCAUAUAAAAUUGUAAAAAAAAAAAAAAAUCACAGGUUUUCAAAGGCAAGAUUUUCUUUUGUGACGUUCAUUUAUUAUG